GAUGAACGCUGGCGGCGUGCCUAAUACAUGCAAGUCGAGCGAACAGAUAAGGAGCUUGCUCCUUUGACGUUAGCGGCGGACGGGUGAGUAACACGUGGGUAACCUACCUAUAAGACUGGGAUAACUUCGGGAAACCGGAGCUAAUACCGGAUAAUAUUUCGAACCGCAUGGUUCGAUAGUGGAAGAUGGUUUUGCUAUCUCUUAUAGAUGGACCCGCGCCGUAUUAGCUAGUUGGUAAGGUAACGGCUUACCAAGGCGACGAUACGUAGCCGACCUGAGAGGGGGAUCGGCCACACGGGAACUGAGACACGGUCCAGACGCCUACGGGAGGCAGCAGUAGGGAAUCUUCCGCAAUGGGCGAAAGCCUGACGGAGCAACGCCGCGUGAGUGAUGAAGGUCUUCGGAUCGUAAAACUCUGUUAUUAGGGAAGAACAUACGUGUAAGUAACUGUGCACGUCGUGACGGUACCUAAUCAGAAAGCCACGGCUAACUACGUG
This 497-nucleotide ribosomal RNA is filed under the name uncultured bacterium. Its description in RNAcentral is "partial 16S ribosomal RNA". It matches the Rfam family "Bacterial small subunit ribosomal RNA", at positions 28 to 507 of the family's 1533-position model. The record is from RNAcentral.